Molecule: ribosomal RNA, 400 nt
Filed under: uncultured bacterium
Lineage: Bacteria
Description: bacterial SSU rRNA
Rfam family: Bacterial small subunit ribosomal RNA
Source: RNAcentral
GGGGAAUAUUGGACAAUGGGCGCAAGCCUGAUCCAGCCAUGCCGCGUGAGUGAUGAAGGCCCUAGGGUUGUAAAGCUCUUUCACCGGUGAAGAUAAUGACGGUAACCGGAGAAGAAGCCCCGGCUAACUUCGUGCCAGCAGCCGCGGUAAUACGAAGGGGGCUAGCGUUGUUCGGAAUUACUGGGCGUAAAGCGCACGUAGGCGGAUAUUUAAGUCAGGGGUGAAAUCCCAGAGCUCAACUCUGGAACUGCCUUUGAUACUGGGUAUCUUGAGUAUGGAAGAGGUAAGUGGAAUUGCGAGUGUAGAGGUGAAAUUCGUAGAUAUUCGCAGGAACACCAGUGGCGAAGGCGGCUUACUGGUCCAUUACUGACGCUGAGGUGCGAAAGCGUGGGGAGCAAAC